This 73-nucleotide transfer RNA is filed under the name Paxillus rubicundulus Ve08.2h10. It matches the Rfam family "tRNA". Rfam says of the family: Transfer RNA (tRNA) molecules are approximately 80 nucleotides in length. Their secondary structure includes four short double-helical elements and three loops (D, anti-codon, and T loops). The record is from Rfam by way of RNAcentral. Lineage: Eukaryota; Fungi; Basidiomycota; Agaricomycetes; Boletales; Paxillaceae.
GGACUGGCAGCUCAAUUGGAAGAGUGCCACUGUACAAAACUGGAGGCCACAGGUUCAAUCUCUGUCUAGUCCA